GGGCAGGGUGAGUCGACCCCUAAGGCGAGGCCGAAAGGCGUAGUCGAUGGGAAACAGGUUAAUAUUCCUGUACUUGGUGUUACUGCGAAGGGGGGACGGAGAAGGCUAUGUUAGCCGGGCGACGGUUGUCCCGGUUUAAGCAUGUAGGCGGAGGUUCCAGGUAAAUCCGGUACCUUUUUAACGCUGAGGUGUGAUGACGAGGCACUACGGUGCUGAAGUAACAAAUGCCCUGCUUCCAGGAAAAGCCUCUAAGCAUCAGGUAACAUUGAAUCGUACCCCAAACCGACACAGGUGGUCAGGUAGAGAAUACCAAGGCGCUUGAGAGAACUCGGGUGAAGGAACUAGGCAAAAUGGUGCCGUAACUUCGGGAGAAGGCACGCUGAUAUGUAGGUGAAGCCCCUGCGGGUGGAGCUGAAAUCAGUCGAAGAUACCAGCUGGCUGCAACUGUUUAUUAAAAACACAGCACUGUGCAAACACGAAAGUGGACGUAUACGGUGUGACGCCUGCCCGGUGCCGGAAGGUUAAUUGAUGGGGUUAUCCGUAAGGAGAAGCUCUUGAUCGAAGCCCCGGUAAACGGCGGCCGUAACUAUAACGGUCCUAAGGUAGCGAAAUUCCUUGUCGGGUAAGUUCCGACCUGCACGAAUGGCGUAAUGAUGGCCAGGCUGUCUCCACCCGAGACUCAGUGAAAUUGAACUCGCUGUGAAGAUGCAGUGUACCCGCGGCAAGACGGAAAGACCCCGUGAACCUUUACUAUAGCUUGACACUGAACAUUGAGCCUUGAUGUGUAGGAUAGGUGGGAGGCUUUGAAGCGUGGACGCCAGUCUGCGUGGAGCCAACCUUGAAAUACCACCCUUUAAUGUUUGAUGUUCUAACGUUGGCCCCUUAUCGGGGUUGCGGACAGUGUCUGGUGGGUAGUUUGACUGGGGCGGUCUCCUCCCAAAGAGUAACGGAGGAGCACGAAGGUUAGCUAAUCCUGGUCGGACAUCAGGAGGUUAGUGCAAUGGCAUAAGCUAGCUUGACUGCGAGCGUGACGGCGCGAGCAGGUGCGAAAGCAGGUCAUAGUGAUCCGGUGGUUCUGAAUGGAAGGGCCAUCGCUCAACGGAUAAAAGGUACUCCGGGGAUAACAGGCUGAUACCGCCCAAGAGUUCAUAUCGACGGCGGUGUUUGGCACCUCGAUGUCGGCUCAUCACAUCCUGGGGCUGAAGUAGGUCCCAAGGGUAUGGCUGUUCGCCAUUUAAAGUGGUACGCGAGCUGGGUUUAGAACGUCGUGAGACAGUUCGGUCCCUAUCUGCCGUGGGCGCUGGAGAAUUGAGGGGGGCUGCUCCUAGUACGAGAGGACCGGAGUGGACGCAUCACUGGUGUUCGGGUUGUCAUGCCAAUGGCAUUGCCCGGUAGCUAAAUGCGGAAGAGAUAAGUGCUGAAAGCAUCUAAGCACGAAACUUGCCCCGAGAUGAGUUCUCCCUGACUCCUUGAGAGUCCUGAAGGAACGUUAAAGACGAUGACGUUGAUAGGUCGGGUGUGUAAGCGUAGCGAUACGUUGAGCUAACCGAUACUAAUGAACCGUGAGGCUUAACCUU
Molecule: ribosomal RNA, 1577 nt
Filed under: Klebsiella aerogenes MGH 77
Lineage: Bacteria; Pseudomonadati; Pseudomonadota; Gammaproteobacteria; Enterobacterales; Enterobacteriaceae
Description: bacterial LSU rRNA
Rfam family: Bacterial large subunit ribosomal RNA
Source: RNAcentral